GGUAUGCAAGGACGCGAAGUAUCUGCGUCAGCACAGCCUUUCGGUCGCCGUUGAUUUUACAUACUACAACAAAAUCAGCUUUCAUCAGCCACCAUCAAACCCACAUCAACUUCGAUCACUUCCCAGUAAUUGAUGAUUUUUCUUCAUGUUAUUUCUUAAUUCCUAUAAUUUUAAGAAACCUUAAACCCUUGAAGUAGUUGAAUACAGAAACGGAGGAUGUCAGUGUCGUUUUCAAAUUUUCCAGCACCAUUACCGGUUAGUUUUCUAUACAUGGGAUUGUCUAUUUAUUUCUUUAUUUUUGUUUUUAAUUGAAAAAAGUUUUGUUUGUUUGAUGACUUUUGUUGAAAUUGUAUAUGGGUUGUUUGGUUUCUAGAAAAUGAUGAUAGGAAACUAUAAUUUGUAGAUGAUCUUAAAGAACUGUAUUGCAUGAUAUUAAUAAUGUGUAUUUAAUUUUCAAUCUGGCAUAAUUCUUUGGAUUGAAAAUGAAAGGAUAUACGAAUCUUGAUUAAGUGCAUUUCAUUGGGAUUUUUCAGCAAUUAAAAAUGGAUUUUGCUUCUUCCAAUGAGUUUUGCGUCCAAUUACAUAUUGAAACACUUCAAUUUGUGUCAUAGUAUCUGAAAGCACCUCACGAGUGCUAUUGUUAUAUGUAUUGGCAUUUUCAGUUUUGUUACUGUUAUUACAUGGGAAAACUUGGUACCUUGCUUCACUAAUUUGUCGGGUAGCAGUAGUUGCAUCUUUGGCAUGAUAGAGCCUUAUAAAUGGGGAGUACAACCAUAUUUGCUAAAUUUCGAGUAUAAUAGAGUCGUACACUAGUUAUGCAAGGCACAAUUGUCUUGCUUUUGUUGUAUCUAGGCAACAGGAAAAAAUACUCAC
This 873-nucleotide long non-coding RNA is filed under the name Citrus maxima (pomelo). Its description in RNAcentral is "long non-coding RNA (CMAX_LNC004210)". The record is from RNAcentral. Lineage: Eukaryota; Viridiplantae; Streptophyta; Magnoliopsida; Sapindales; Rutaceae.